RNAcentral lists this ribosomal RNA (575 nucleotides) under Aspergillus carneus. Its description in RNAcentral is "eukaryotic LSU rRNA". It matches the Rfam family "Eukaryotic large subunit ribosomal RNA", at positions 58 to 648 of the family's 3401-position model. The record is from RNAcentral. Lineage: Eukaryota; Fungi; Ascomycota; Eurotiomycetes; Eurotiales; Aspergillaceae.
AAAGAAACCAACCGGGAUUGCCUCAGUAACGGCUAGUGAAGCGGCAAGAGCUCAAAUUUGAAAGCUGGCCCCUCCGGGGUCCGCAUUGUAAUUUGCAGAGGAUGCUUCGGGCGCAGCCCCCGUCUAAGUGCCCUGGAAUGGGCCGUCGGAGAGGGUGAGAAUCCCGUCUGGGAUGGGGUGCCUGUGUCCGUGUGAAGCUCCUUCGACGAGUCGAGUUGUUUGGGAAUGCAGCUCUAAAUGGGUGGUAAAUUUCAUCUAAAGCUAAAUAUUGGCCGGAGACCGAUAGCGCACAAGUAGAGUGAUCGAAAGAUGAAAAGCACUUUGAAAAGAGAGUUAAACAGCACGUGAAAUUGUUGAAAGGGAAGCGCUUGCGACCAGACUCGCUCGCGGGGUUCAGCCGGCAUUCGUGCCGGUGUACUUCCCCGUGGGCGGGCCAGCGUCGGUUUGGGCGGCCGGUCAAAGGCCUCCGGAAUGUAGCCCCCCUCGGGGGGCCUUAUAGCCGGGGGUGCAAUGCGGCCAGCCUGGACCGAGGAACGCGCUUCGGCUCGGACGCUGGCAUAAUGGUCGUAAACGAC